RNAcentral lists this ribosomal RNA (675 nucleotides) under uncultured fungus. RNAcentral's name for it is "eukaryotic LSU rRNA". It matches the Rfam family "Eukaryotic large subunit ribosomal RNA", at positions 24 to 664 of the family's 3401-position model. The record is from RNAcentral. Lineage: Eukaryota; Fungi.
CCCGCUGAACUUAAGCAUAUCAAUAAGCGGAGGAAAAGAAACUAACAAGGAUUCCCCUAGUAACUGCGAGUGAAGCGGGAAAAGCUCAAAUUUAAAAUCUGGCGUUCGCGAGGACGUCCGAGUUGUAAUCUAGAGAAGCACCUUCGGUGCUGGACCGUGUACAAGUCUCUUGGAAUGGAGCAUCAUAGAGGGUGACAAUCCCGUCUCUGACACGGAUUUACCAGCGCUGCGCAGAAGUGCUUUCAAAGAGUCGAGUUGUUUGGGAAUGCAGCUCAAAAUGGGUGGUAAAUUCCAUCUAAAGCUAAAUAUUGGCGAGAGACCGAUAGCGAACAAGUACCGUGAGGGAAAGAUGAAAAGAACUUUGAAAAGAGAGUUAAACAGUACGUGAAAUUGUUGAAAGGGAAACGAUUCAAGUCAGACACGUCGACCAGUAAUCAACCUCCGCCCUUUGCGGGGGCUCACUUUCUGGGCUCAACGGGUCAGCAUCAAUUUCAACCGCCAGAUAAAGCCAUGAGGAAUGUGGCAUCUUCGGAUGUGUUAUAGCCUCCUGUUCGCAUGUGGUGGUUGGGAUUGAGGAACUUGACACGACCUUUCGGGGUUUCCGGGAUCACGAUCCACGUAAACGUGUCUUGGAUGCUGGCAUAAUGGCUUGAACCGACCCGUCUUGAAACACGG